GACGAACGCUGGCGGCGUGCCUAAUACAUGCAAGUCGAACAGUGGCGGACGGGUGAGUAACACGUGGGUAACCUACCCAUCAGAGGGGGAUAACACUUGGAAACAGGUGCUAAUACUGGAUAGUGGGGGGUGGGCUCGCGGCCUAUCAGUUUGGUGGUGAGGUAGUGGUCACCAAGGCGUGACGGGUAGCCGGCCUGAGAUGGCGACCGGCCACACUGGGACUGAGACACGGCCCAGACUCCUACGGGAGGCAGCAGUGGGGAAUAUUGCACAAUGGGCGAAAGCCUGAUGCAGCGACGCCGCGUGGGGGAUGACGGCCUUCGGGUUGUAAACCUCUUUCAGCAAGGAAGCGGUACUUGCAGAAGAAGCGCCGGCUAACUACGUGCCAGCAGCCGCGGUAAUAC
This 404-nucleotide ribosomal RNA is filed under the name uncultured bacterium. RNAcentral describes it as "partial 16S ribosomal RNA". It matches the Rfam family "Bacterial small subunit ribosomal RNA", at positions 28 to 526 of the family's 1533-position model. The record is from RNAcentral.